Molecule: ribosomal RNA, 387 nt
Filed under: uncultured bacterium
Lineage: Bacteria
Description: bacterial SSU rRNA
Rfam family: Bacterial small subunit ribosomal RNA
Source: RNAcentral
GACGAACGCUGGCGGCGUGCUUAACCCAUGCAAGUCGAGCGGUAAGGUCCUUUCGGGGGUACACGAGCGGCGAACGGGUGAGUAACACGUGGGUGACCUGCCCUCAGCUCUGGGAUAAGCCUGGGAAACCGGGUCUAAUACCGGAUAUGACUCCAUGACGCAUGUUGUGGGGUGGAAAGCCUUGUGCGGCUGAGGAUGGGCCCGCGGCCUAUCAGCUUGUUGGUGGGGUGAUGGCCACCAAGGCGACGACGGGUAGCCGGCCUGAGAGGGCGACCGGCCACACUGGGACUGAGACACGGCCCAGACUCCUACGGGAGGCAGCAGUGGGGAAUCUUGCGCAAUGGGCGAAAGCCUGACGCAGCGACGCCGCGUGAGGGAUGACGGCCU